AGCAGCCGCGGUAAUUCCAGCUCCAAUAGCGUGUAUUAAAGUUGUUGCAGUUAAAAAGCUCGUAGUUGAAUUUCGGGGUUAGUAGGUUGGUCAUGCCUCUGGUAUGUACUGGUCUCACUGAUUCCUCCUUCCUGAUGAGCCGUAAUGCCAUUAAUUUGGUGUUGCGGGGAAUUUGGACUGUUACUUUGAAAAAUUAGAGUGUUUAAAGCAAGCUAACGCUUGAAUACAUUAGCAUGGAAUAAUGAAAUAGGACGUUCGAUCCUAUUUUGUUGGUUUCUAGGAUUGACGUAAUGAUUAAUAGGGAUAGUUGGGGGCAUUAGUAUUCAAUUGUCAGAGGUGAAAUUCUUGGAUUUAUUGAAGACUAACUACUGCGAAAGCAUUUGCCAAGGAUGUUUUCAUUAAUCAAGAACGAAAGUUAGGGGAUCGAAGACGAUCAGAUACCGUCGUAGUCUUAACCAUAAACUAUGCCGACUAGGGAUCGGAUGAUGUUAAUUUUUAAUGUACUCAUUCGG
This 512-nucleotide unclassified non-coding RNA is filed under the name uncultured Glomus. RNAcentral's name for it is "SSU rRNA". It matches the Rfam family "Eukaryotic small subunit ribosomal RNA", at positions 569 to 1083 of the family's 1831-position model. Lineage: Eukaryota; Fungi; Glomeromycota; Glomeromycetes; Glomerales; Glomeraceae. The record is from RNAcentral.